This 2293-nucleotide long non-coding RNA is filed under the name Oreochromis niloticus (Nile tilapia). RNAcentral describes it as "lncRNA (ENSONIG00000040924.1)". The record is from RNAcentral. Lineage: Eukaryota; Metazoa; Chordata; Actinopteri; Cichliformes; Cichlidae.
AUGAAACGACUGAAGACCCGCAAGGAGAGGAGUCAAAUAAGAGGUGGCUGGAAAGAGACUUCAAAGAUCAAGUCAAAUCACCAUCAUCAUCACCAUCGCCAUCGCCAAAGCAACUUAGAUAUGGCACAUUUGCAUAACUGCUGUCAUGCUAGUUGUCAUUGUUCUUCAAGGAGAAAUCCACCAUUUCCAAGUAUUGUUCCCUCUGUGCAGGAGCCCAGUAUCAUCACAGACGGCCGCCUGACAGGACACCAUGGCCUGUUUAACCAUGAGGUGAAGUCUAUUGAUUUUGAACGCUUGCUAAGUGAACAGCCAAAACUGGAGGAACAAAGAAAAGAAAAGAACACUGUAAUUUCACAUUCAUCUUCAGCAUUGCACAAUUCUGCUCCAAUGUCCACUGAUGGUUUGUUGGGAGCUGAUACAGAUGUUGGGAGCUGUGUGCCAUUCAGAAAAAAUACAGACCCUGCUUCAAAAGACCACACUGACUGCCAAGAGAAAGAAAAGAAAAACAUGCAGUUUGAUUCAAAGCAAUCAGAUGUCACAACAGAGGAGAAACCACAACAACACCUCGCUCUUUCAUGUCAAAGUUUUCAAAGCAGCCACUCGUCUAAACACAGCUUCCUCGAUGUACUAACAACAGAAACCAAGUGGACAUGUGUCGUGUCUGAAAACAGCAGAGAAUCACUGCUGACUCCAGUUGUUGACAGAGACAAUAUAAAGACUUUCAACACAAAUGUAAAAGAACGUGUGAUUUCUACUCUUGUGCAAACCCCAACUCUCAGUUCAGCCAACAGCUGUGAGAUACAGGACAGAACGCAAGAUCCAAAGUAUGUAAUGAAGUUUGUCAGUGCAGUGGCAGCACGUUUGUGUCACCAUCUGAAGCUUCCGUCAAUGAGCAGGAGAGACGUGCUGUCAGAGAGCAGGGAGGUUUUGUUGAACUCUCUGAGGAAAAGGCAUGGACCGUGGCUUCAAGAGAACCUCCUUAGACUUCAGCAACAUCGUAGCUUUGCUGUGCAUCCCACAAAGAAAGCCCAAGAUCAUGAUCAAGAGCCAACCAGGAAAAAUGAAGAGGAUCUCUUUGCUGCAGAUACCUCUUUUAAUAUGCCAGCAAAUAGACAUGCCAGCUGGAAGACCAGUCCACAGCCACACUGCAGUCAAAAACAGGUUACUGAGUGGCUGGUGAGCCCUGCGGAUACGGCCGACAGUGUUUUGGAUGAUAUCCUCAGACCAAGUCUCUCUCCUCCAUUGUUCAUGAACUUUCAGACCUGUGAAGCUCCAGAAAGCAUUUUGUUUGCUCCUUCUACCACUUUAUGCCAGAGAGAAGUGGCUUCUGUACCUGAGAACUGGCAAGGUGGUUUAAACUGGUCAAAGAGCAAAAAUUCAGCUAUGUUUGGUUCCUUUGAAAAUAGCUUCAUGGACCAAUCCAGCUUAUUUGGAAACAGGAGCCUACAGUACUCUGGCAGCAACCCCCAGCCCUUUUUUCCUUACCAAUUGCAGCUGCCAGAUACAUACACAGGAGAGCCAAUGCACAUUGCCCAGCAGGAAGACCCAUUUGGAACUGACAGGUACUCGUGUGUUCCCUCUUUUCCUGCCCCAGUUCACCAUCAGAGCAAUCAUUUCCAACCUUCGAGCCAGUUCAGUCACCCUUCAGCUUGUUCUCCUCUGAAGUCCCAGCACACUGGUAUGAUGCACUACCCUCCGUCAUUCAUUCUUGAGAGAGACCCUGCACCUUCCCUUUCUGCUUUCCUGAGCCCUGAGCAAUGGUCCUUCCCUCCUAUGAGACUGUACUAAUGUGUGGUAAAGCUCUCCAUAGAGGCAUGGCUAUCAAUAUUUCUAUGACUGAUUAAAGUACAAUUGUCCUUUAAUUUAUGCACUUCAAGGUUUUUGUUUAGUCAGUGAGAAACACGUUAUGUUCCCAUAUUAAUAUAACCAUAGCAUUAAGCAUAGAUGCAAUAGCUAUCCACUGAAGAGUAGCCUGUCUUCUUCUAUUGUCCUGUUUUUGCUGAGUUAAGUAGCCAUGCAAUUAUGCAUCAUUUUCAACCUUUUGAAGCAUUUAUGUUUAUUUUUGACUUCUGUACAAUUAAAAACACAGAUGUUAUAAUGGAAUAUUAUUUGUUUGUGAAAGUUGUGCAUCCCUUUAAAUGCCAAACAGUAAUUUAAAAGAAAUUUGUAGAAAUUGCAUAUAUACGUCAAACACUGCAAAACAUAAAAUUAACAAAAGCUGCUCUUACAUUUAUAACACAUUACAUUGUAUUUUACAACAUCAUUUCAAGGUUAAUUGAGUAAAACAACAAAU